AUACAAAACAACAACAAAAGAACAAGCCAAAACAAAUCACUAAAGAGAAACAGAAUGGGAACAACUAGACUGGCCUGCAUGGUAAGGUUACCCAAGAACUAUUUGAACACGACAAACAUUUAAUUUGCUAGAUGGCUCCUCCUUUUUCCCAGAUCUAAGGAAAUCUCUCGCCGGAAGCCAUGCCACAGAGCGCUCGGGCAGCUUGCAGAGAAGGAUGCAACCCACGCUGGCCCCAGAGGACCCUAG
This is a long non-coding RNA of Hipposideros armiger (great roundleaf bat), 246 nucleotides long. RefSeq lists it as uncharacterized. Lineage: Eukaryota; Metazoa; Chordata; Mammalia; Chiroptera; Hipposideridae. The transcript is spliced from 3 exons. The record is from RefSeq and is a predicted model, not a curated record.